Molecule: ribosomal RNA, 235 nt
Filed under: uncultured bacterium
Lineage: Bacteria
Description: partial 16S ribosomal RNA
Rfam family: Bacterial small subunit ribosomal RNA
Source: RNAcentral
UGAGGAACAUGACCUUCGGCGGGGGAUAGCCGGCCCGACGGCCGGGUAAUACCGCGUACGACCAUUUGGGGACAUCCCCGAGUGGUGAAAGCAGCAAUGCGCCGAUGGAGUGCCUCGCGGCCUAUCAGCUAGUUGGUGGGGUAACGGCCUACCAAGGCGACGACGGGUAGCCGGCCUGAGAGGGCGACCGGCCACACUGGGACUGAGACACGGCCCAGACUCCUACGGGAGGCAG